GAUGAACGCUGGCGGCGUGCUUAAUACAUGCAAGUCGAACGGAGAGAGUAGCAAUACUGUCUUAGUGGCGAACGGGUGAGUAACGCGUUGGUGACCUGCCCCGAAGAGGGGGAUAACAGUUCGAAAGGACUGCUAAUACCCCAUGAUAUCUACCCGGUUAGAGGAGGUAGAUGAAAGGAGAAAUCCGCUUUGGGAGGGGCCUGCGUCCCAUCAGCUAGUUGGUAGGGUAAAGGCCUACCAAGGCAAAGACGGGUAGGGGGCCUGAGAGGGUGACCCCCCACACUGGCGACUGAAACAACGGGCCGACGACACCUACGGGUGGCACG
This 326-nucleotide ribosomal RNA is filed under the name uncultured Chloroflexota bacterium. RNAcentral's name for it is "bacterial SSU rRNA". It matches the Rfam family "Bacterial small subunit ribosomal RNA", at positions 28 to 351 of the family's 1533-position model. The record is from RNAcentral. Lineage: Bacteria; Bacillati; Chloroflexota.